AGAGUUUGAUCAUGGCUCAGGACGAACGCUGGCGGCGUGCUUAACACAUGCAAGUCGAACGGAAAGGCCCUUCGGGGUACUCGAGUGGCGAACGGGUGAGUAACACGUGGGUGAUCUGCCCUGCACUCUGGGAUAAGCCUGGGAAACUGGGUCUAAUACCGGAUAGGACCGCAUGCUUCAUGGUGUGUGGUGCAAAGCUUUUGCGGUGUGGGAUGAGCCCGCGGCCUAUCAGCUUGUUGGUGGGGUAAUGGCCUACCAAGGCGACGACGGGUAGCAGGCCUGAGAGGGUGACCGGCCACACUGGGACUGAGAUACGGCCCAGACUCCUACGGGAGGCAGCAGUGGGGAAUAUUGCACAAUGGGCGCAAGCCUGAUGCAGCGACGCCGCGUGAGGGAUGACGGCCUUCGGGUUGUAAACCUCUUUCAGUAGGGACGAAGCGAAAGUGACGGUACCUACAGAAGAAGGACCGGCCAACUACGUGCCAGCAGCCGCGGUAAUACGUAGGGUCCGAGCGUUGUCCGGAAUUACUGGGCGUAAAGAGCUCGUAGGUGGUUUGUCGCGUUGUUCGUGAAAACUCACAGCUUAACUGUGGGCGUGCGGGCGAUACGGGCAGACUAGAGUACUGCAGGGGAGACUGGAAUUCCUGGUGUAGCGGUGGAAUGCGCAGAUAUCAGGAGGAACACCGGUGGCGAAGGCGGGUCUCUGGGCAGUAACUGACGCUGAGGAGCGAAAGCGUGGGUAGCGAACAGGAUUAGAUACCCCGGUAGUCCAA
RNAcentral lists this ribosomal RNA (773 nucleotides) under uncultured bacterium. RNAcentral describes it as "bacterial SSU rRNA". It matches the Rfam family "Bacterial small subunit ribosomal RNA", at positions 8 to 798 of the family's 1533-position model. The record is from RNAcentral.